Molecule: ribosomal RNA, 118 nt
Filed under: Mastacembelus armatus (zig-zag eel)
Lineage: Eukaryota; Metazoa; Chordata; Actinopteri; Synbranchiformes; Mastacembelidae
Source: RNAcentral
AUGGGCAGCCACACUGUCCUGCAAAUACCCAAUCCCAUCUGAUCUCGGAAGCUAAGCAGGGCCGGUACUGGUUAGUACAUGGUUGUGAGACCCUUUUUAAGACCAGGGGCAGUUAGAC